Non-coding RNA from Sus scrofa (pig), 866 nucleotides. NCBI's taxonomy places the organism in Eukaryota, Metazoa, Chordata, Mammalia, Artiodactyla, Suidae. The record is from RefSeq and is a predicted model, not a curated record.
AUGUUGGAAAGGUUUACCAGGAUUCUUAAUGAAGUGCAAAACUGUUUGCCAAAGAUCAAGGAGGACAUUAUUAACUGAACCUGAACUGGCAGCUCCCGAGAUCUGAGAAGAUUUAUUUCGUAGGGGGAACCUUAAUAAACUGAAGCAUCCAGAGGAGAAACCAAAAUGGUGGAGAGUUUGGAAGUCUGGUCCUUCCAGGGAGCUGAACGCCCAGAGGAUGUUGCGCUGGAGAAAGCUGGAGAGAGUGAUGGUCCCUGAAUCCAGGGCAGGGUAGGUUGUCCAGCAGAGGACAGUGGAGGAGUGUUGACCUUCCCAGAGGAGAGGAAACCAACCUUCUGUUCCCAGAAGAGAUUUUUCAAGAGAAACCAGAUAAGGAAAAUCUAUUUCUAUUGCUAAUGGUUCAUGUUAAACAUUACACCUCCAGGCAAAAAAACAAAACAUCUCUACAAGCCACAGCAUCUACUAGACAACUGUGAUGGAAACUGCAGAACCAUUCGAAUUUAGCAUUCUGAGCAACAUAAACGACUGGUUUGUAAUGAUUUGAGCAGCUCGAAAUGGGCAGGGUCUUACUGGCUGUGGGGUGGGAGAGUGAGCUCUCCUCUCAUUAGGGAUGUUUAAGCAUAAGGAUACUAAACAAAUAAUGCUGAAAUGUUGGAUGGGGUGACUUUGGAUCAAACCCACUCUUUAAAAUGAAAAUGCCUGGAUCUGACCCCAGAGAGUCCUACAGCAGGUGUGUGGCAAGGCCAGACAUCUGUGUAUCCUAGGAAUCCAGUGGUUCUGAUGGGAAGACAAGAGCUGAACACGUUCCAUUUGACGACCAUCAAGACCUGAAAGGACCACCAUCCUCCUGAAAAACAAAAAACAAA